CCUACGGGAGGCAGCAGUGAGGAAUAUUGGUCAAUGGCCGGAAGGCUGAACCAGCCAUGCCGCGUGAAGGUCAGUGCCCUAUGGGCGUUAAACUUCUUUUGUGCGGGAGCAAUAAUGGUCACGUGUGGCCAGACGAGAGUACCGUACGAAUAAGCAUCGGCUAACUCCGUGCCAGCAGCCGCGGUAAUACGGGGGAUGCAAGCGUUAUCCGGAUUUAUUGGGUUUAAAGGGUUCGUAGGCUGGGAGGUAAGUCAGCGGGGAAAUGCCCCCGCUCAACGGGGUGAAGUGCCAUUGAUACUGCCUUGCUGGAAUGCGGAUGCCGUGGGAGGAAUGUGUGGUGUAGCGGUGAAAUGCAUAGAUAUCACACAGAACACCGAUUGCGAAGGCAUCUCACGAAUCCGCGAUUGACGCUGAGGCACGAAAGCGUGGGUAUCAAACAGGAUUAGAUACCCUGGUAGUC
RNAcentral lists this ribosomal RNA (460 nucleotides) under uncultured bacterium. Its description in RNAcentral is "partial 16S ribosomal RNA". It matches the Rfam family "Bacterial small subunit ribosomal RNA", at positions 338 to 795 of the family's 1533-position model. The record is from RNAcentral.